GACCUCAGGUAUAUAAAACGUUGAGCUCAGGUGAGCUGUGGUGUAUGCUCACCUUUUGCGGCCCUGGUCUGGCCCUUGAAAGAAGCCAGAGGGACCUGGUGGACCUUGGUCAAUUCAGACGCACCUGGAUUGAGCCUGUGACCUUCCCACAUUCACCCUUCUCCCCACCCACAAAGGGGUAAUCCUCACGGGGGCUUCCGAGGUUGGCCUUGAGCCCCCUAAGGCUAGGAAGCUUACAUUCUCUUAAGGUGACUCACUUCCUGUUUGGGCUGAGGAAUGUGGCGCCUGGGUACUCCGAGCCGGCUCCUUGGAAACGGCUGGACCCGCCCACCAGAGCCUUAAAGCAACAGUGCUCCCACGACGGGCUUGUCCUAGUGGUCCUGAGGAACGGUCCCAGAAUUCCUGAAGGCAGAGGUCGGCUGCCAAGUCCCACAGUCCACAUGCUCCCUCUUCCUCACUCGACUUUAAGUUCCCUGGAGGAACGACAACUCCACUGCUUUUAGCCAGCGUGCAAGUGGUUCCCAGGACCAUUUCAGAGAAAGGGAUUGUGUGGUGAGACCUUACUAACCUGGCCUAAUCCUCCCUGGGCCUGUCAUGUUUUUGUCGAAAACUGGGAACAGUACUCUGGGCUUCUAAAGAAUCCAUGAGACCAUCUAUCAGUGUCCGAGGCAGGGCCCGGACUCUCUGCAAGGGAACAGCGGGCCGAACCUGCAGAUCCACAAUGACUGCUGAUGACCCUAGAGGCCUCCACAGAAAAACCCACCAGUGGAACAGAGCAGCGGACACAGGACUGCAGCAGCUGUGUCAUUCCUUGUGCCUCCUUUUCUUCAUGGCAAAGCGAUCCUCUCAGAAGAGAAACCAGACCUCCAAGGACACGUUGAAGAGGCAUGAAGAGAACACAGAAGGCCCAGCUGUAUCAUGGAUUUUGUUCUCUGCUGGAUCCAGGGAAGCUUCUCCUGCUCUCCCUGCCUCCUAUGUGCUCCAGGCUUAUGCCACCUCCAUCUUGUACCUGGGCAAUGAUUUUGAGUAUCUAAACAGGGUUAGUGAAUAAAUAGCAGAUAUGCUGAUGCUCCCACUCCUCUACCCAUGGAAGACAUCACUAAUUGAUUUCAACUUAAUGCUCCAAGUACUCACCAAUAAAUAAUUGGAGACAGUCUGUUGACAUCCUAGUCAGUACUUUUCUUUUCUUCCCCCUAACUUCCUCCUAGAGUUUUCAAGCAAAGCAAGUGUGAAUCUGAGUGGCUAUAAGUCUUAAUACAAAUUCUGUCCUUGUCCUCAUGGUAACUUAUCCGGACCAUUGCCAGCUUCCACCAGCAUAAGGAAAUACGAUCUCAUCUUGCCUAAAGUCCCUUUGAAGCAUUGAGUGGGACUCCAGGACUCCACAGGGACUCCUGUGUGCUCAGCAGGAAGCUGGCUCCUGCUCCUGG
RNAcentral lists this long non-coding RNA (1427 nucleotides) under Heterocephalus glaber (naked mole-rat). Its description in RNAcentral is "lncRNA (ENSHGLG00100046199.1)". The record is from RNAcentral. Lineage: Eukaryota; Metazoa; Chordata; Mammalia; Rodentia; Bathyergidae.